Molecule: ribosomal RNA, 371 nt
Filed under: uncultured bacterium
Lineage: Bacteria
Description: bacterial SSU rRNA
Rfam family: Bacterial small subunit ribosomal RNA
Source: RNAcentral
GAAUCGUCCAAACGUUGUUCGGAUUCACUGGGUUUAAAGGGCGCGUAGGCGGUGCGUUAAGUCGGCGGUGAAAUACUUCGGCUCAACCGGAGAAUUGCCGCUGAAACUGGCGUGCUCGAGGGAGGUAGAGGUGUGUGGAACUUCCGGUGGAGCGGUGAAAUGCGUUGAUAUCGGAAGGAACACCUGUGGCGAAAGCGAUGCACUGGACCUCUUCUGACGCUGAGGCGCGAAAGCCAGGGUAGCGAACGGGAUUAGAUACCCCGGUAGUCCUGGCCAUAAACGAUGGGGACUAGAGAGUAGAUGCUCCGAUGUGUUUACUCUCGAAGCAAAAGUGGUAAGUCCCCCACCUGGGGAGUAUGGUCGCAAGGCUG